ACGUGAGCUGGGUUCAAACCGUCGUGAGACAGGUUGGUCUCUACCUGCUGUAGGCGUUAAUCCGAAAAGGAUUUAUACACAAUUGAGGGAAGUCGACCCUAGUACGAGAGGACCGGGUUGAACGAGCCGCUGGUCUGCCAGCUUUCCUACCAAGGGAACUGCUGGGUAGCUAUUGCUCGGAAAGGAUAAGUGCUGAAAGCAUCUAAGCACGAAGCCUCGCCCAAGACUAGUUGUGAGGUCCGUGGAAGACUACCACGUUGAUAGGCUCCAGAUGUAAGGCCAGUAAUGGUUUUAGUCGAGGAGUACUAAUAGACCGAUUUUUACUUAC
RNAcentral lists this ribosomal RNA (328 nucleotides) under Patescibacteria group bacterium. Its description in RNAcentral is "partial 23S ribosomal RNA". It matches the Rfam family "Bacterial large subunit ribosomal RNA", at positions 2598 to 2925 of the family's 2925-position model. The record is from RNAcentral.